Long non-coding RNA from Pezoporus occidentalis (night parrot), 858 nucleotides. RefSeq lists it as uncharacterized. The record is from RefSeq and is a predicted model, not a curated record. NCBI's taxonomy places the organism in Eukaryota, Metazoa, Chordata, Aves, Psittaciformes, Psittacidae. The transcript is spliced from 3 exons.
GCUUCCCUUUGAAGGGGAAAAAAAGAAGAUUCCUCAGACCCCACUCAUCCAAAUGAGGGCCCUGCUUGGCUACAGCUGCUCUGCAUCGGCUCUGAUUCAAUCUCCCAGAUUGCUCCUUGUGUUUCAGCUGCAGCAAUGCCUUUUUAAAGCAAGCUCCUGGAAAAUGAGCCUCCCCCUUUUGCAGGAGGUGCUGGCCACAGAGAUGCUUGCACAGGAUGAGCCCUAAAUGCCUGUGCCACAAGGUAAAGAAUUCAGGUUCUCCAUCGAGAUGCUCCAAGUUUUAGUGGCAAUGAGCAAAUCACUGGUGUCCUUGGGAAACAUAAGGACACCCUAAUUGCAGGCAAUUAAAGCAGCCUUAGGAAAAGAAGGGCUGUGUUGAAAUCCAAGCUGGAAAGCGUACCUCUAAAUGGGUGCCAGUUGCCAGCGCUGGAGAAGUGCCCCCGGAGAAGGAGCUGGUGCUGCACAAACCCUCCCCAUAGAGCUGGGGCUAGAAGGACCUUCUCUCCUGUGUCCUGGUUACAUGAACACUUCACCUCCUGCAUGCAGGCACUUGCAUGAGCAUGCAAAUCCAGCAGGCUCUUACUGGGGCUCCUGCAUGUGGGAGAUGGGAGAUGCUGGGAGCUGAUGAGGGCAGAUAGAAUGGAGCAAGUCCAGGGAAAGAAAGUAAUCGAUGCUGGGCUUGCCUUUAGAAUGCUCCCUCUCCUUUUUUGAUGCUGGUGCUCUGUAAAGGUUUGCCUUUGCCAGAUGGGGACUUCCAUUACUUUAGAGCUGUCAGAACAACAAAAGACUUCUUUGAGUCAUUUUCUAUAUCUGACCUUGAAUUACUGGAGCAGCAAUAAACAUCAAGAGCAAUGAGAA